Molecule: transfer RNA, 85 nt
Filed under: Candidatus Enterousia avicola
Lineage: Bacteria; Pseudomonadati; Pseudomonadota; Alphaproteobacteria
Description: tRNA-Leu
Rfam family: tRNA
About the family: Transfer RNA (tRNA) molecules are approximately 80 nucleotides in length.
Source: RNAcentral
GCGGAUAUGGCGAAACUGGUAGACGCGCAGCACUAAGGAUGCUGUGGAGAAAUCCUUGGGGGUUCGAGUCCCCCUAUCCGCACCA